This 497-nucleotide ribosomal RNA is filed under the name uncultured bacterium. RNAcentral's name for it is "partial 16S ribosomal RNA". It matches the Rfam family "Bacterial small subunit ribosomal RNA", at positions 28 to 507 of the family's 1533-position model. The record is from RNAcentral.
GAUGAACGCUGGCGGCGUGCCUAAUACAUGCAAGUCGAGCGAACAGACGAGGAGCUUGCUCCUCUGACGUUAGCGGCGGACGGGUGAGUAACACGUGGAUAACCUACCUAUAAGACUGGGAUAACUUCGGGAAACCGGAGCUAAUACCGGAUAAUAUAUUGAACCGCAUGGUUCAAUAGUGAAAGACGGUUUUGCUGUCACUUAUAGAUGGAUCCGCGCCGCAUUAGCUAGUUGGUAAGGUAACGGCUUACCAAGGCAACGAUGCGUAGCCGACCUGAGAGGGUGAUCGGCCACACUGGAACUGAGACACGGUCCAGACUCCUACGGGAGGCAGCAGUAGGGAAUCUUCCGCAAUGGGCGAAAGCCUGACGGAGCAACGCCGCGUGAGUGAUGAAGGUCUUCGGAUCGUAAAACUCUGUUAUUAGGGAAGAACAAAUGUGUAAGUAACUAUGCACGUCUUGACCGUACCUAAUCAGAAAGCCACGGCUAACUACGUG